AUGAGAUGGUAUAUUUGGCAAUUGCAAUGAAAAAUUAGGUUUAGUUGAUCAACAUUAUUUGGCACUUGGCUUAGUUGAUAAGCAUUGUUUAAUGCUUUGCUUCACGUUUAAAAGAAAACCAUUCAGAAAGGGAAAAAAGUAAAUGUUUCAUGCUUUACACUGCACAUCCAAAUCUAACUUUGCUAUGAUAUCUACAAUUAUACAAUUUAGCAACACACCGCUGCCCCACCAUCACAUAAUUCUGGCAAUAAGGUAAAGGAUUUAUUAUCUUAAUCAAAUGACUAUUUUCUCUUAUAACCAUAUUUUUUAAUGAGCACCAAGAUAAAAGACUUGGACUUGGUAAUUUUAAUUUAAAACUGAAAAUCUCUAAUAUCUUUAGAGAUUCUAAAAUCUCUACAUGAACAUAUUAGUGGCAUUUUAAAACUAUCAACUAUCUAUUCAUCCAUCCAUUCAUCCAUCCAUCAUCCAUCCAUCCAUCCAUCCUAUGUAUCUAUUUAUACAUUGUAAUCCACUGAUGGACACAGAAGCCAGGGGAAGAAAUUGAGUAUACUCUAGGGCAUUUCACUAAUAUGGAGGGCUGUGUUUUGACUGGGCCUGCUUAUUGGUCUUGGAGGAGAUAAGACUAUGUUUCUGUACUACUAAGGUUCUCUGAACUCCAUUGAGUUGAUCAAUACAUACAUUUUGCUACAAUGUUCAUCAUGAAUAAAGGGUAUAGGUAAACAUAUAUAAGGAAUGUUUAAAUGAUAUCCCUAAAAAUCUUCAUGUAAAUAUAUAAAAUCAAAUUUUAAAAAAGAUAUAAUACUAAAUCAUAUUUCUUAGCACUCAAAUUAUUUAAUAAACUUAGUUCCCUUCCUAACCUAAAAAUUGCUACAGCCUUUGUCUUAGACCAUUUUAAGUUUACAUUAGACUGAGUAACUUAUAAAGAACAGAGAUUUAUUUCUCAAAGUUCUGGAGGCUGGUAAGCCCAAAAGUAUGGAGAUGGUACGUGGUGAGGCCCCAGCUGCAUAAUGUGGUAGAAAUAAACAUUACAAAAGCAUCACUGUGAGAGAGCAGGAGGAUGGGAGAGAGCAAGGGAGUGCAGGAAGCUGAGCUCACUCCCUGGAGAGCUAACACACCCCCUUGACAAUGUCCUAAUCACCUCUUAAAGAACACCUCCCCCCCACAUAUGACCAGUGACAAAUAAAUUUCAACAUGAAUUUUGGAAGAGACAUUCAAACUAUAACAAUGCUCAACAAGUAAAAGUAAUACUUCAUAAUUAAAAAGAAAGAGUCUAGUGGAAUUAAUGACGCAAAGAGGACUGCUAUGUUCAGAAGUAUGUUUGGAAGAAGUCACUGACCAUUUGUCCUGAGAGAUUCCCACAUAACCUCUGUGAUAUCUGCCCUAGCUAAAGUGUUGCUUUAAAGCUAACAUUUUAGUGACUGUUCAUUGAUUCCCAUGUGUCUUUACUGCAAUAUAAAAAAAAAUAAUGUCUUCAUUUAUGGCAUGCAGUAAAAAACUCUCAAAAGGAAUACUCAGUAGUACUUAACCAUAUUUGUUUAAAAUAAAAAUACAAGGACAAAAAAUAAUUAUAUUUAAAUGAAUGAGAGCAAUACUUAAAGAAAUGUGAUGAUAUAGACAUAAUUAUGUACAGCUUUCAAUAAUUUAACAGUUCUCAAUCACUGCUUUAUUUCAUCCUGAUCUGAUUCUUGAUUCUCAUGCCUUAAUUAAGCUAAUAUCUUACUUUUAACAUAAUCUUGGAAGUAUCUCCUCCUUCAGAUUUAUGAUAUUACCAAGUGUUAUGGUCUAGAUAUAAGGUGUUCCCCCAAAUGUUCUGUGUCAGUGCAGGAAUGUUUGGAGAAAAAAUUACCAGAUUAUGAGAGUGGUAACCUCUGAAUCAAUCCUAGUUCGAAUGGAUUGACUGGGUGGGAGCUAUAGGCAUGUGAGGUGUCGCUGGAGGAGGUGGGUCUCUGAUGAUGUGCCCUGGAAGGGUUCAUCUUCUCUGUGUCCCCUUCCUACCACCUUCUCUCUCUCUGCUUCCUGGCUGCCAUAAAUAGAGGAGCUUCCCUCCUCCACACUCUUCCCCCAUGAUGUUCUGCCUCCCCUUGGGUCCAGAACAAUGGACUCUGUUGACUGUGGAACCAUGAACCAAAAUAAACUUUUCCUCCUCUAAGUUGUUCUUGUCAGGUGUUUUGGUCACAGCAACAAAAAGCAGACUAACACACCAAGGAUAAAAUUUCAUGUGUGCUUCCCUCAAAUAAUAUAUUUUAAUUGUUGGAUUCUAUAUGGUCAGCAAUAGUCCAGAAUUUGAUGUCUAAACUCAAGUUCUUUUCCUGUCCCAGACUUUAAAGAAAAAACAAAUAAAAA
RNAcentral lists this long non-coding RNA (2343 nucleotides) under Marmota monax (woodchuck). The record is from RNAcentral. Lineage: Eukaryota; Metazoa; Chordata; Mammalia; Rodentia; Sciuridae.